GUAUGCAUGUCUAGUAUAGCAUUAUACCGUGAAACUGCGAAUGGCUCAUUAAAUCAGUUAUCGUUUAUUUGAUAGUACCUUACUACUUGGAUAACCGUGGUAAUUCUAGAGCUAAUACAUGCUAAAAACCCCGACUUCGGGAGGGGUGUAUUUAUUAGAUAAAAAACCAAUGCCCUUCGGGGCUCCUUGGUGAUUCAUGAUAACUUCUCAGAUCGCAUAGCCUUGUGCUGGCGACGGUUCAUUCAAAUUUCUGCCCUAUCAACUUUCGAUGGUAAGGUAUUGGCUUACCAUGGUUUCAACGGGUAACGGGGAAUUAGGGUUCGAUUCCGGAGAGGGAGCCUGAGAAACGGCUACCACAUCCAAGGAAGGCAGCAGGCGCGCAAAUUACCCAAUUCCGAUACGGAGAGGUAGUGACAAUAAAUACUGAUACAGGGCUCUUUUGGGUCUUGUAAUUGGAAUGAGUACAAUUUAAACCUCUUAACGAGGAACAAUUGGAGGGCAAGUCUGGUGCCAGCAGCCGCGGUAAUUCCAGCUCCAAUAGCGUAUAUUAAAGUUGUUGCAGUUAAAAAGCUCGUAGUUGAACCUUUGGCCUGGCUGGCAGGUCCGCCUCACCGCGUGCACUUGUCCGGCCGGGCCUUUUCUUCUGGAGAACCGCAUGCCCUUCACUGGGUGUGUUGGGGACCAGGACUUUUACUUUGAAAAAAUUAGAGUGUUCAAAGCAGGCCUUUGCUCGAAUACGUUAGCAUGGAAUAAUAGAAUAGGACGUGCGGUCCUAUUUUGUUGGUUUCUAGGACCGCCGUAAUGAUUAAUAGGGACAGUCGGGGGCAUCAGUAUUCAAUUGUCAGAGGUGAAAUUCUUGGAUUUAUUGAAGACUACUACUGCGAAAGCAUUUGCCAAGGAUGUUUUCAUUAAUCAGUGAACGAAAGUUAGGGGAUCGAAGACGAUCAGAUACCUCGUAGUCUACAUCCAAACUAUGCGACUAGGGAUCGGGCGGGUUUCUAUUGUGACCGGCUCGCUCACUACGAGAAUCGAAAGUGUUGGGUCUGGGGGAGUAUGUCGCAGCUGACUAGC
RNAcentral lists this ribosomal RNA (1071 nucleotides) under Kalmusia cordylines. RNAcentral describes it as "SSU rRNA". It matches the Rfam family "Eukaryotic small subunit ribosomal RNA", at positions 49 to 1143 of the family's 1831-position model. The record is from RNAcentral. Lineage: Eukaryota; Fungi; Ascomycota; Dothideomycetes; Pleosporales; Didymosphaeriaceae.